Molecule: transfer RNA, 76 nt
Filed under: Armatimonadota bacterium
Lineage: Bacteria; Bacillati; Armatimonadota
Description: Armatimonadetes bacterium (groundwater metagenome) tRNA-Ala
Rfam family: tRNA
About the family: Transfer RNA (tRNA) molecules are approximately 80 nucleotides in length. Their secondary structure includes four short double-helical elements and three loops (D, anti-codon, and T loops).
Source: RNAcentral
GGGGCUGUAGCUUAGCUGGGAGAGCGCCUCCCUUGCACGGAGGAGGUCGCCGGUUCGAAUCCGGCCAGCUCCACCA